GAUGAACGCUAGCUACAGGCUUAACACAUGCAAGUCGUGGGGCAUCAUGAUGUAGUAAUACAUUGAUGGCGACCGGCGCACGGGUGAGUAACGCGUAUCCAACCUACCCUCCACUCAAGUAUAGGCUUCCGAAAGGGAGAUUAAUCCUUGAUAUCGUCAUUCUCUCUCCUGUUAGAAUGAUAAAAGGACAUCGUUUCGGUAGAGGAUGGGGAUGCGUUCCAUUAGGUAGUAGGUGGUUUAACAGGCCACCUAGCCGAUGAUGGAUAGGGGUUCUGAGAGGAAUAUCCCCCACACUGGUACUGAGAUACGGACCAGACUCCUACGGGAGGCAGCAGUGAGGAAUAUUGGUCAAUGGGCGCAAGCCUGAACCAGCCAUGUAGCGUGAAGGAUGACGGUUUUUUUGAUUGUAAACUUCUUUUCUGUGCGA
This 427-nucleotide ribosomal RNA is filed under the name Bacteroidetes bacterium oral taxon 272. RNAcentral's name for it is "bacterial SSU rRNA". It matches the Rfam family "Bacterial small subunit ribosomal RNA", at positions 28 to 445 of the family's 1533-position model. The record is from RNAcentral. Lineage: Bacteria; Pseudomonadati; Bacteroidota.